GCCCUCCGGGUCCGCGGGGCUGCCGAUCCAGGUCCUCUGCAGGGACCCCACACGCUCCUCCACACCUCCUCCUCCUCCUCCUCCCUCCUUCUCCUCCCCCCUCCUUCCUCCUCCCUCCUCCUCCCUCUUCCUCCUCCUUCCUCCUCCCCCCUCCUCCUCCCUCCUCCCCUUCCUUCUUUCUCCCUCCUCCCUCCUUCUUCCUCCUCCCCCCUCCUCCUCCCUCCUCCUUCAUUCUUCCUCUUCCUCCCUCUUCCUUCCUCCUCCUCCCUCCUCCUCCUCCUCCCUCAUUCUUCCUCUUCCUCCUCUUCCUCCUCCCCUCCUCCCUCCUUCUUCCUCCUCCUCCUCCUCUUCCUCCUCCUUCCUCCUCCUCCUCCUCCCUCCUUCUUCCUCUCCUUCCUCCUCCUCCUCCUCCUCCCUCUUCCUCCUCCUUCCUCCUCCCCCCUCCUCCUCCUCCUCCCCCCUCCUCCUCCUCCUCCCUCAUUCUUCCUCUUCCUCCCUCUUCCUCCUCCUCCUCCCUCUUCCUUCCUCCUCCUUCCUCUCCUCCUCCUCCUCCCUCCUCCUCCUCCCCCCUCCUCCUCCCUCUUCCUCCUCCUUCCUCCUCCCUCCUUCCUCCUCCUCCUCCCUCCUUCUUCCUCCUCCUUCCUCCUCCCUCCUCCUCCUCCUCCCUCAUUCUUCCUCUUCCUCCCUCUUCUUCCUCCUCCUCCUUCCUCCUCCUCCUCCUCCCCUCCUCCUCCUCUUCCUCCUCCUCCUCCUCCCCUUCCUUCUUCCUCCUCCUCCCUCCUUCUUCCUCCUCCUUCCUCCUCCCCUCCUCCCUCCUCCUCCCUCAUUCUUCCUCUUCCUCCCUCUUCCUUCUCCUCCUCCUCCUCCCCUCCUCCUCCUUCCUCCUCCUCCCUCCUCUUCCUCCUCCCCUCCUCCUCCCUCUUCCUCCUCCUUCCUCCUCCUCCUCCUCCCUCCUUCUUCCUCCUCCUCCUUCCUCCUCCUCCUCCCCUUCCUUCUUCCUCCUCCUCCCUCCUCCCCUUCCUUCUUUCUCCCUCCUCCCUCCUUCCUCCUCCCCUCCUCCUCCCUCCUCCUCCUCCUCCUUCAUUCUUCCUCUUCCUCCCUCUUCCUUCCUCCUCCUCCUCCUCCUCCUCCUCCCUCCUUCUUCUUCCUCCUCCUUCCUCCUCCUCCUCCCCUUCCUUCCUCCUCCUCCCUCCUCCUCCUCUUCUUCCUCCUUCCUCCCUCCUCCCUCCUCCUCCUCUUCCUCCUCCUCCUCUCCUCCUCCUCCCUCCUCCUCCUUCUUCUUCCUCUCCUCCUCCUCCUCCCUCCUCCUCCUCCUCCUCCUCCUCCUUCUUCCUCCCUCUUCCUCCUCUCCCUCCUCCUCCUCCUUCCUCCUCCUCCCUCCUCCUCCUCCUCCUCCCCCCUCCUCCUCAGGCAGGGAGGGAUGCCUCUCCAUUCCCCUGCCCACCUCUAGGGAAACUGUCCUCCCUUGAAUUCUCUCUUUGGCCU
RNAcentral lists this long non-coding RNA (1485 nucleotides) under Felis catus (domestic cat). RNAcentral's name for it is "lncRNA (ENSFCAG00000047415.1)". Lineage: Eukaryota; Metazoa; Chordata; Mammalia; Carnivora; Felidae. The record is from RNAcentral.